RNAcentral lists this small RNA (142 nucleotides) under Shewanella amazonensis. RNAcentral also lists the same sequence under 1 other name. Lineage: Bacteria; Pseudomonadati; Pseudomonadota; Gammaproteobacteria; Alteromonadales; Shewanellaceae. The record is from RNAcentral.
AGAUAAAAAAAGGCCCAAAACUAUUCCAAUUGUUUUGGGCCCAGGGGAAUGGCUCAUAAAGAGCCGUGCGCUAUUCGGUCGCAAAAGGGGAUUAAAGAACACUGUCACUGAGUGUAGAACAGCAUUUCAGCGUUUGCUGAAA